Molecule: ribosomal RNA, 867 nt
Filed under: uncultured bacterium
Lineage: Bacteria
Description: bacterial SSU rRNA
Rfam family: Bacterial small subunit ribosomal RNA
Source: RNAcentral
ACUGCCCGUCUGAGGCACGCCCAGGCAGCGGAAUUCCGGUGUAGCGUGAAAUGCGUAGAUAUCGGGAGGAACANCGAAGGCGAAGGCAGCNGCUGGGGCUGUCUGACGGUCAGGGACGAAAGCUGGGGGAGCGAACCGGGAUUAGAUACCCGGGUAGUCCCAGCCGUAAACCAUGGGCGCUAGGCGUCGUCCUCGUGGCGGUGCCGCAGCUAACGCGGUAAGCGCCCCGCCUGGGGAGUACGGGCGCAAGCCUGAAACUCAAAGGAAUUGGCGGGGGCCCGCACAACCGGUGGAGCGUCUGGUUCAAUUCGAUGCUAACCGAAAAACCUUACCCGGGCUUGACAUGGUGGGAAACCCUUGCGAAAGCGAGGGGUGCCGUCCUCUGGACGGAAUCCCACCACAGGUGGUGCAUGGCCGUCGUCAGCUCGUGUCGUGAGAUGUUGGGUUAAGUCCCGCAACGAGCGCAACCCCUGCCCCUAGUUGCUACCCCGAAUGGGGAGCACUCUAGGGGGACUGCCGGCGAUAAGCCGGAGGAAGGUGGGGAUGACGUCAGGUCAGUAUGCCCCUUAUGCCCGGGGCUACACAAGCGCUACAGUGGCCAGGACAAUGGGAUGCGACCCAGCAAUGGGGAGCAAAUCCCCCAAACCUGGUCAUGGUGCGGAUUGAGGGCUGAAACUCGCCCUCAUGAAGCCGGAAUCGGUAGUAAUGGCGGAUCAGCUAAGCCGCCGUGAAUACGUUCUCGGGCCUUGCACACACCGCCCGUCACGCCACGGAAGUCAGUCUUCCCGGAAGGCCCCAAGCUAACCCGCAAGGGAGGCAGGGGACGAUGGGAAGGCUGGCAACUGGGGCGAAGUCGUAACAAGGUAA